GUUAGAGGUAUAGGGGGAGGGUUGAGAUCUCACAAACAUGUUUAACCCCGCCGCAUUUUUGCGCCUGUCCCAAGUCAGGAGCCGCUGGCCUUUGUUAGUCUUGUGUUAUUUUAAUUUUAGUUUCUUGUGUACAAUUUGGAAAUUAGUAUGGCGUUCAUUAUCACUGGACUAGUAUAUAUUUGUUUAGGGGCCAGCUGAAGGACGCCUCCGGGUGCGGGAAUUUCUCGCUACAUUGAAGACCUGUUGGUGACCCUCUGCUGUUGUUUUUUAUUUGGUCGGGUUGUUGUCUCUUUGACACAUUCCCCAUUUCCAUUCUCAAUUUU
RNAcentral lists this long non-coding RNA (323 nucleotides) under Mytilus galloprovincialis (Mediterranean mussel). The record is from RNAcentral. Lineage: Eukaryota; Metazoa; Mollusca; Bivalvia; Mytilida; Mytilidae.